Molecule: ribosomal RNA, 460 nt
Filed under: uncultured bacterium
Lineage: Bacteria
Description: partial 16S ribosomal RNA
Rfam family: Bacterial small subunit ribosomal RNA
Source: RNAcentral
CCUACGGGUGGCAGCAGUGAGGAAUAUUGGUCAAUGGGCGCGAGCCUGAACCAGCCAAGUAGCGUGAAGGAUGACUGCCCUACGGGUUGUAAACUUCUUUUAUAAAGGAAUAAAGUGAGGCACGUGUGCCUUUUUGCAUGUACUUUAUGAAUAAGGAUCGGCUAACUCCGUGCCAGCAGCCGCGGUAAUACGGAGGAUCCGAGCGUUAUCCGGAUUUAUUGGGUUUAAAGGGAGCGUAGGUGGAUUGUUAAGUCAGUUGUGAAAGUUUGCGGCUCAACCGUAAAAUUGCAGUUGAAACUGGCAGUCUUGAGUACAGUAGAGGUAGGCGGAAUUCGUGGUGUAGCGGUGAAAUGCUUAGAUAUCACGAAGAACUCCGAUUGCGAAGGCAGCUUACUGGACUGCAACUGACACUGAUGCUCGAAAGUGUGGGUAUCAAACAGGAUUAGAUACCCCAGUAGUC